AUACGUAGGGGCCAAACGUUGUCCGGAUUUAUUGGGCGUAAAGGGCUCGUAGGCGGUUCAACAAGUCGGUCGUGAAAACCCGGGGCUCAACCCCGGGACGCCGGUCGAAACUGUUGUGACUAGGGUCCGGUAGAGGUGAGUGGAAUUCUCGGUGUAGAGGUGGAAUGCGCAGAUAUCGAGAGGAACGCCAGUAGCGAAGGCGGCUCACUGGGCCGGUACCGACACUGAGGAGCGAAAGCGUGGGGAGCAAACAGGAUUAGAAACCCUAGUAGUCC
RNAcentral lists this ribosomal RNA (275 nucleotides) under uncultured bacterium. Its description in RNAcentral is "partial 16S ribosomal RNA". It matches the Rfam family "Bacterial small subunit ribosomal RNA", at positions 523 to 796 of the family's 1533-position model. The record is from RNAcentral.